This 253-nucleotide ribosomal RNA is filed under the name uncultured bacterium. Its description in RNAcentral is "partial 16S ribosomal RNA". It matches the Rfam family "Bacterial small subunit ribosomal RNA", at positions 524 to 776 of the family's 1533-position model. The record is from RNAcentral.
UACAGAGGUCCCAAGCGUUGUUCGGAUUCAUUGGGCGUAAAGGGUGCGUAGGCGGCGCGGUAAGUCGGGUGUGAAAUCUCGGGGCUUAACUCCGAAACUGCAUUCGAUACUGCCGUGCUUGAGGACUGGAGAGGAGACUGGAAUUUACGGUGUAGCGGUGAAAUGCGUAGAUAUCGGAAGGAAGACCAGUGGCGAAGGCGGGUCUCUGGACAGUUCCUGACGCUGAGGCACGAAGGCCAGGGGAGCAAACGGG